Molecule: ribosomal RNA, 649 nt
Filed under: uncultured bacterium
Lineage: Bacteria
Description: bacterial SSU rRNA
Rfam family: Bacterial small subunit ribosomal RNA
Source: RNAcentral
CAGGCCUAACACAUGCAAGUCGAGCGGUAACAGAGAGUAGCUUGCUACUCUGCUGACGAGCGGCGGACGGGUGAGUAAUGCUUGGGAAUGUACCUUAUGGUGGGGGACAACAGUUGGAAACGACUGCUAAUACCGCAUAAUGUCUUCGGACCAAAGCGGGGGACCUUCGGGCCUCGCGCCAUAAGAUCAGCCCAAGUGGGAUUAGCUAGUUGGUGAGGUAAUGGCUCACCAAGGCGACGAUCCCUAGCUGGUUUGAGAGGAUGAUCAGCCACACUGGGACUGAGACACGGCCCAGACUCCUACGGGAGGCAGCAGUGGGGAAUAUUGCACAAUGGGCGCAAGCCUGAUGCAGCCAUGCCGCGUGUGUGAAGAAGGCCUUCGGGUUGUAAAGCACUUUCAGUAAGGAGGAAAGGUUGGAUGUUAAUAGCAUUCAGCUGUGACGUUACUUACAGAAGAAGCACCGGCUAACUCCGUGCCAGCAGCCGCGGUAAUACGGAGGGUGCGAGCGUUAAUCGGAAUUACUGGGCGUAAAGCGUACGCAGGCGGUUUGUUAAGCGAGAUGUGAAAGCCCCGGGCUCAACCUGGGAACUGCAUUUCGAACUGGCAAACUAGAGUGUGAUAGAGGGUGGUAGAAUUUCAGGUGUAGCGG